AUGGCCGGAAUUGUGAACAAGGAGUUUGCUGAGUUGGCCCAGACAAGACUGAACUACCUGUCAUGGUCCUCGGACUGCGAGAUCUUUCUCGAGGGCAAAAGCCUCCUAAGGGCGAUCGAUAAGGGGACCCAGCUGGCCCCCACUAAUCCCAAGUUCGAAACUGAGAAUGCGCAGGCUCUGCAUUUUCUCCGUCAUCACCUGUCACCUACUCUGAAAGAUGAGUAUAUGGCUGAGCGCAGUGCUUCUGGCCUUUGGACCGCUCUUAAGCAGCGGUUUGAGCGGCUGAAGUACACUGUGGAGCCACGUGCAGAGGCAGAGUGGAUCCGUCUAAAGUUUGCGGACUUUAAGAUGAAGAUUGAGAAAACCCUAUCCACUUUCCACCCUGACGCGGUCCAGUCCUCACGGAACUACCGCCAGGGCAACUACACGAGGUAUUCAGAGUUGAUUGACGUCCUCCAGGCGGAGGAGGCGCAGGAUGAGGUUCUGAAAAAGAACUUUGUCGCACAACCACUUGGGGGGAGUUCUCGCCAGGAGGUGAACGCUCUCAAAGUCCGCAAGCUUCAACAGAAGAAGAGGGGCCGCAAGGGCAAGAAGAAGCAAAAGCCGGGCAAGGGAGGGCAGAGGCCUCAGGACUGCUUCCGUUGUGGCUCGGUGGAGCAUUUCUCCUGCCAGUGCCGCGCACCACAGGAGGUCAUUGAAGCAUAG
Molecule: ribosomal RNA, 705 nt
Filed under: Triticum aestivum (bread wheat)
Lineage: Eukaryota; Viridiplantae; Streptophyta; Magnoliopsida; Poales; Poaceae
Description: partial small subunit ribosomal RNA
Source: RNAcentral